RNAcentral lists this transfer RNA (73 nucleotides) under Thaumarchaeota archaeon RBG_16_49_8. Its description in RNAcentral is "tRNA-Glu". It matches the Rfam family "tRNA". Rfam says of the family: Transfer RNA (tRNA) molecules are approximately 80 nucleotides in length. Their secondary structure includes four short double-helical elements and three loops (D, anti-codon, and T loops). Lineage: Archaea; Thermoproteati; Nitrososphaerota. The record is from RNAcentral.
GCCUCGGUAGCUCAGCGGCCAGAGCGCAGACCCCUCCAGCAAGAAGUCGAGGGUUCAAAUCCCUCCCGAGGCU